CUAUGAGCUUACACAGCCACCCUCAGUGUCAGUGUCACCAGGACAGGCAGCCAUGAUCACCUGCUCUUGAGAUAACCUCAAAGAUGAGUAUGUUUACUGGUUCUGGCAGAAGCCAGACCAGGCCCAUACUGGUGAUAUAUGAAGGCAGCAAGCGGCCCUCAGGAAUUUCUGAUUUUCUGAGUCCAGCUCAGGGAACAUGGCCACCCUGACCAUCAGCAGGGCUCAGACUGAGGACGAGGCUGACUAUUAC
RNAcentral lists this long non-coding RNA (250 nucleotides) under Homo sapiens (human). Its description in RNAcentral is "non-protein coding lnc-IGLL5-4:1". The record is from RNAcentral. Lineage: Eukaryota; Metazoa; Chordata; Mammalia; Primates; Hominidae.